UAGGAUUUAUCCCUGAAGCUGAAGCACGUACUAAGAGAUUCUAAAUCAGGCAGCCAAACUGGAAUAGAAAUCUCUCCUGCAGACUCUCAAAUAAGUUGCAUAAUAGAUGCCAAGAUUUUCAUUAUUUCAAUAAAGACGCCACACCUGGAGCACAAGCCAUGAUUAGCA
Molecule: long non-coding RNA, 168 nt
Organism: Gorilla gorilla gorilla (western lowland gorilla)
Lineage: Eukaryota; Metazoa; Chordata; Mammalia; Primates; Hominidae
Source: Ensembl